UUCGCUCGCGGUCUGUGGUAUAAAAUGCGCCGCUUUCGGGGACGACCCCGUCAGCACUUAACCCACACACGUGUCGACACGAUGACCUGGGUGCCCCGAGUUGCAGAAUUCGCGGGUUGGUCAUUGGGAUACGUGGAGGCCCAACC
RNAcentral lists this small RNA (146 nucleotides) under Pseudomonas putida DOT-T1E. RNAcentral's name for it is "t44 RNA". The stretch from base 46 to 145 matches the Rfam family "t44 RNA". Rfam says of the family: This family consists of a number of bacterial RNA genes of between 135 and 170 bases in length. The t44 gene is found between the map and rpsB genes in all species in the full alignment apart from Shigella flexneri. Lineage: Bacteria; Pseudomonadati; Pseudomonadota; Gammaproteobacteria; Pseudomonadales; Pseudomonadaceae. The record is from RNAcentral.